This 468-nucleotide ribosomal RNA is filed under the name uncultured bacterium. RNAcentral's name for it is "partial 16S ribosomal RNA". It matches the Rfam family "Bacterial small subunit ribosomal RNA", at positions 28 to 507 of the family's 1533-position model. The record is from RNAcentral.
GACGAACGCUGGCGGCGUGCUUAACACAUGCAAGUCGAACGGAAAGGCCCUGCUUUUGUGGGGUGCUCGAGUGGCGAUCGGGUGAGUAACACGUGAGUAACCUGCCCUUGACUUUGGGAUAACUUCAGGAAACUGGGGCUAAUACCGGAUAGGAGCUCCUGCUGCAUGGUGGGGGUUGGAAAGUUUCGGCGGUUGGGGAUGGACUCGCGGCUUAUCAGCUUGUUGGUGGGGUAGUGGCUUACCAAGGCUUUGACGGGUAGCCGGCCUGAGAGGGUGACCGGCCACAUUGGGACUGUGAUACGGCCCAGACUCCUACGGGAGGCAGCAGUGGGGAAUAUUGCACAAUGGGCGGAAGCCUGAUGCAGCAACGCCGCGUGCGGGAUGACGGCCUUCGGGUUGUAAACCGCUUUCGCCUGUGACGAAGCGUGAGUGACGGUAAUGGGUAAAGAAGCACCGGCUAACUACGUG